UCAGCAUGGAACACUUCCCCAUAAAUGAAGCCAUAAAGACCAAGCCUGUUUUAAAAUGUCCAAAUACUACCAUCUCUCUGUUUUCUUGAAGACCUAACAAUUGUGUUAACUCCCACCCAGCCGAAUCAGACUAAGCUAUUUUGCAUGAUGCCAAAUCCUGGGAUGGUAACACAAUGGAGGGAGUGUAGCAGCAUACCAAGCAGCCACCCCGGCCUACCAAGUGGCCAAUAAAGCAUCCUACCAGGAGGCCUACCAAGAGCCGUACCAUAUGGUCUACUAAAUGGCCUGCCAAUCGGCUACCUGCAGGCUGGCUCCCUGCUACCCCCUUCACAGGCUACCAGCUACACCCCGCCAAGGUGCUCUCCUUCUAGUGGUCCUGGCAGUGUUGUGCAGACUCGGGACAACUGAGCUUUGGAGAAAUACGCAGAUUUAAAGAGGAGUCUAAUGAUCAUGACCUUUUCGUCAAAGAAGUGUGCUCUUCAAGGAUGAAUUGUGGUUUCAACUGUACCGAGAAGAUGCUAGACAGUGUGUUUGGCCUUGUGUGGGUGAGCGGUUUGCUGAUGUCAACAUUGUGAACAGAGUGCCCCAUAGUGGUGGUGUGGUUAUGGUAUGGGCAGGCAUAAACUAUGGACAAUCUAUGGAUUUCCAGUUAUGUGAAAUCCAUAGAUCAGGGCCUAAUUCAUGUUAUUUCUAUGAACUGAUAUCCUUAUAUGAACUGUAACUGAGUAAAAUCUUUGAAAUUGUU
Molecule: long non-coding RNA, 745 nt
Organism: Oncorhynchus keta (chum salmon)
Lineage: Eukaryota; Metazoa; Chordata; Actinopteri; Salmoniformes; Salmonidae
Exons: 2
Source: RefSeq, a predicted model, not a curated record